Molecule: long non-coding RNA, 770 nt
Filed under: Homo sapiens (human)
Lineage: Eukaryota; Metazoa; Chordata; Mammalia; Primates; Hominidae
Description: HSALNT0342899
Source: RNAcentral
UAACAGUGUUUCAGAAAGGAACAAUCUCUAUCUGUGAACCUGUAGUCAAUUCAGAGUUCCCCAGACUGGCGUUCUGUUACAGAGGGAGUUUAGAUUCAACUUCAGAUGAGAAAAAUGAGGAUCUGACAUGAAAAGUGACUUGCAGUAGGUGCAAACUAGUGUCCAGGGCUCUGGCCUCCACCUCUGGUCAACUUUCACCACCCCAUGUUAUGCUAACCCCUGGCAUUCUGUUUGUGCACAACCAAGUCUUUAAUUUGUCCUAGUAGUCAUAUUUUUUUCCUCUUCUUCUUAAAUUGAUGUCUUCACUUGCUGUUUCCUUGGGUGUUGAAACCCAAGUCCCAUCCCCUGAGGAACCAACAACAUUGAAUACGAAUAUGGCCAUGAACUGAUUGGCCAAAUCUACUCUGACCUGUGCUCCCAAGGUGAAUGACCUUGUUGGGGUUGACUAAGUCUUUUCCAGGGAGGUCAACAUCACCUCAGCUAUUUCAAAACAGAGCUAAAGUUCCAGUCCAGGGAAUGGCUGAUUCUUCAGGUGUGUUUCUGUGUGCACAACUUGUUCUUUCAACAACCUCCCCAUGAGUUUCUGGAAUGUGAAGACUACUUUUGUCUGAAGAAACCACUGGCCUACAUAUUUUUGUUAUACACACAUGAAAAAAUUGUUACAAGAGGUACUGCUGUGACAAGCAAUAUAAAGUCUUGGACUGUUUCCUAGUUAUUUGUCCGUACUUUAUCCACCUGCCUGAGGAGAGUGGUACAAUUUUGAGAGGAAG